Molecule: small nucleolar RNA, 107 nt
Organism: Mangifera indica (mango)
Lineage: Eukaryota; Viridiplantae; Streptophyta; Magnoliopsida; Sapindales; Anacardiaceae
Source: RefSeq, a predicted model, not a curated record
AUCUGAUGAUAUGGGCAGCUUAUGCACAACUUCUUAAAGCACUCCCAAUAUUCAUAUAAGGUCUCCUCAUUAUUCUGCCAAUUAAUGCAUAUCACUUUUCUAAUGUU